Molecule: non-coding RNA, 46 nt
Organism: Aedes aegypti (yellow fever mosquito)
Lineage: Eukaryota; Metazoa; Arthropoda; Insecta; Diptera; Culicidae
Source: Rfam
CCAUCGGUUCUUUUCAGAGCCACCAAAUUUGUGGAAAAGAGUUGAA